This 506-nucleotide ribosomal RNA is filed under the name uncultured bacterium. Its description in RNAcentral is "bacterial SSU rRNA". It matches the Rfam family "Bacterial small subunit ribosomal RNA", at positions 1 to 507 of the family's 1533-position model. The record is from RNAcentral.
AGUAGUUUGAUCAUGGCUCAAGGGAUAGAACGCUGGCGGCGUGCCUAACACAUGCAAGUCGAGCGAGAAACCAUCGAUUGAAACUUCGGUAGAUAUUGAAGGCGGAAAGCGGCGGACGGGUGAGUAACGCGUAGGCAACCUGCCCUUUGCAGAGGGAUAGCAACGGGAAACUGUUAAUUAAAACCUCAUAAUACCGUAAUGUCAAAUGAUGAAACGGUCAAAGAUUUAUCGGCAAAGGAUGGGCCUGCGUCUGAUUAGUUAGUUGGUAGGGUAACGGCCUACCAAGGCAGCGAUCAGUAGCCGACCUGAGAGGGUGAUCGGCCACAUUGGAACUGAGACACGGUCCAAACUCCUACGGGAGGCAGCAGUGGGGAAUAUUGCACAAUGGGCGAAAGCCUGAUGCAGCAACGCCGCGUGAAGGAUGAAGGCCUUUGGGUCGUAAACUUCUGUCCUUGGGGAAGAAAAAAAUGACGGUACCCCUGGAGGAAGUCCCGGCUAACUACGUG